ACCAGCACUUGCAACAUGUAAGCUACAGCUGUUGAUUACACUUCCAUUAAAUGCUAGUGAACCUCUCUAAAAUAAAGUCACUGAAAUGGUGAACAUAAGCAUAAGCAGAGUGCAGGGCUUGUCCUAGCUGUAGUUUUAGCUCUAAAUAUUUAUCACUAGGCUGGAUGUAGCCAACUGUGAUGGCUUAUCUGAUGUGUUUUUUUUUACUUGUGCGUGUCGCAGAACACAAACACUCUCAUGUUAAUCUAUGCAGCUGUCUACCAACACCAUCGGGCGUGUUUUUUCAGCUUUGCUCUUGUAGCAGGAUAGAGGUGCUAUCCAUGUUAGUCACGGUUAAGUACCACUAGUGGCCGUCAUGAUGUGGGCGGUAUAAAAGCAGCCAUCCUCCACCUGCCUCUUUCUUUUUGCGCUCCUGUCACUUGCGCGUCACUUCCGGGCCAAAAGGUAGUCUGGUCCGAUAGGGCGACUAUUUGUUGCUGCUUCAGGGUUUUCGUGCGAGCUAUGGUGUAAACGCUGAUGACGGCCGGAGUCCUCUCUCACUCCCUCCUCCUGUGUGAACGCGAGUGUGUGUGUGUGUGUGUGUAUGCCAGUGUUUGGUCGUAAACAGGUAUGUGUUAGCAUAGCAAACAACUGUAGCAUUUCUGUUUUAUGUAGCCACACUAACAUCAUGUUUGGUCGUAAACAGGACCAACUGCAAUCAGCUCAUUGGGGUCGCUGCUGCUUUGCCAGGCUGAUCUUGCCUUCCCACGCUACUCUGCUUUGCCAGGCUGAUCUUGCCUUCCCACGCUACUCUGCUUUGCCAGGCUGAUCUUGCCUUCCCACGCUACUCUGCAUUGCUGGCUGAUAUUGCCUUUCCACGCUACUCCGCUUCACUGCUGCUUCCGCCGCGUUGUUUACUUCACGUGCUUUGCUCCGGCUGGCACCUCGUGCCUACUGCCGCCUGUCGCUGCGGCGCACCCCCCCCCCCCCCCCCCCGAGUAGUUCUACCAAGGGUGCUCAUCCAGUGUGCCUUUUAACCGGGGUUUCCCCCCAUCCGUGUGUGCAUGAGUGUUGAUGUGUGUUCUAAUUAUUUGAAUGAUUUGUUUUCUUUUGUUUUGAUUACUUAUCUAGUUCUGCGUUUAUCAACUAUUUUGUGUGUAUUGUUUUUCUUUUGGUUUGAUUACUGAUUUAGUUCUGCGUUUAUCUCAACUAUUUUGUGUGUAUUGUUUGUUUUCUUUUGAUUUGAUUACUUAUUUAGUUUUGCGUUUAUCUCAACUAUUUUGUGUGUAUUGUUUGUUUUCGUUUGGUUGCAUGGUGAAGAUUUUGCAUUGAAAAGGAAAGAAGUUAUUUAAUAAAUUGUAUUUUUCUAUAACAUUUGAACUACGUCUCAUGCCUUCUAAACGAGUGGACUUACCUGUGUGCUUUGCACUUUACAUAAAUUCCCUGAGGUGAAAUUCCCAGGGUGGCGUUGUCGGUUCCUUUUUCUUAUUUCUUAGUUAGAUCUUUUAGUUUAUUUUCCUUUCGCCCACCACCUUGCCACACUUGGCGUUGUCGGCAGGAUCACUUUUUUUUCGAACGGCUGAGACGUGUGUUC
Long non-coding RNA from Gadus macrocephalus (Pacific cod), 1573 nucleotides. RefSeq lists it as uncharacterized. The record is from RefSeq and is a predicted model, not a curated record. Lineage: Eukaryota; Metazoa; Chordata; Actinopteri; Gadiformes; Gadidae. The transcript is spliced from 2 exons.